AGGAAGACUGGGCAAAGCCAGAAAGGAAGGCCUUGGGGAAGGUGGCGACUGGGCCCAGAGCUCCCCACCAACUGAAGAAAAGCAGGAAGGAUCUAAGUCAGACACCAGGAAGACUAUCCCGGCAGGGCCCGUUGUCCAACAGUGAACUGUCUUAUCAAAGAAGAGGGCGGGAAGGUCGUGGAGGACGGUACCCGGUGCUGGGCCCUGAGCCCAGAGAUAAAGGAGACGACGUCUCUGUUCUCGAGCAGACUCAAGGCAAGCUGUGUCCUCAGCCACCGACAGACUCAGCCAGAGUCACCCAGAGGGACCAACAGGAGUUAGAACAGAGAGAGGCGACUUGGGACCAGGCGGUCACAGAAGCCCCAUGUAGGAGAUGGGAUUUGAGCUGGGCCUCAGGAUACUCAGGGAAGGUGACAGUGGGGACAAAGAGGUCAGUGGGGACAUGAGGCCCAGGCAGCAGUGCAUCACCUGGCAGAGGCACAGGUCUGGGCCAAAGUGGGAGACACCUGUUCCUGACCUGUCACGUGCCUCUGCCUGCCAAUCAGCACGUUCCAUUCUCCUGGCUACGUGACUGGUUCCGGAAGGUCAUGUGAUCCGAACUGGGCCAAUGAGAAUCAGCCUUGGGACUUUGGCUGGCAGCGCCCCGCCCCUCGGUCCUUCACCCUCUGCACACAGCCUGGGAGGCGGAGGUGCUGGCCGCGCCCAGGGGAGGGGGCUCGGGCCCCAGCCCUGAGUGGCUAGGGCACUCCCUGCCCCUCGCAGGGCCUCAGCGACCGUGUUGUAGAAUCAGGGGGUCAAGUAGGUGACCUGCAAGGUCCCGUGGCUCCUGCUCUGGGAAGAUGACACCGUGGGCCUCUGUUUUCUGGGGUGUCUGAGCACAUGGUCACGGUGACCGUCUUCAGCCUCUGGGCGCCCCCUGUGCCCGCUCCCCUCCAUCCCGACAAGACCCGGGGACAUGGCCAGGGACAUGGCCGGGGGUUUGCCACUAGCCCGAGGCCCUGCCUGCCCGCCUCUCCCCAGGUGGGAGGCUCAGAGAGGGUGACGGCCUAUCCAUCAGUGGCACAGCGCUGCUCCCGUCCUGGACGGUGGCGGGGCGCUGUCCCCGGCAUCUCCCGCCUGCGCGACACUCGGGAAGUUCAUUAUUUCCCUCGCUGGCUUUUCUGGCGAGACGCAAAUUAAUUUCCCGUCUCCCCCUCUCCCCGGCUCGCAAUCAUUAAAUGCCAGGAAAGUUAAAUAAACGCUGAUUUACGGGGC
Molecule: long non-coding RNA, 1254 nt
Organism: Ictidomys tridecemlineatus (thirteen-lined ground squirrel)
Lineage: Eukaryota; Metazoa; Chordata; Mammalia; Rodentia; Sciuridae
Source: RefSeq, a predicted model, not a curated record